AGUGAACGCUGGCGGUAGGCCUAACACAUGCAAGUCGAACGGCAGCACAGUAAGAGCUUGCUCUUACGGGUGGCGAGUGGCGGACGGGUGAGGAAUACAUCGGAAUCUACUUUUUCGUGGGGGAUAACGUAGGGAAACUUACGCUAAUACCGCAUACGACCUACGGGUGAAAGCAGGGGAUCUUCGGACCUUGCGCGAUUGAAUGAGCCGAUGUCGGAUUAGCUAGUUGGCGGGGUAAAGGCCCACCAAGGCGACGAUCCGUAGCUGGUCUGAGAGGAUGAUCAGCCACACUGGAACUGAGACACGGUCCAGACUCCUACGGGAGGCAGCAGUGGGGAAUAUUGGACAAUGGGCGCAAGCCUGAUCCAGCCAUACCGCGUGGGUGAAGAAGGCCUUCGGGUUGUAAAGCUCUUUUGUUGGGAAAGAAAAGCAGCAGGUUAAUACCCCGCUGUUCUGACGGUACCCAAAGAAUAAGCACCGGCUAACUUCGU
Molecule: ribosomal RNA, 491 nt
Filed under: uncultured bacterium
Lineage: Bacteria
Description: partial 16S ribosomal RNA
Rfam family: Bacterial small subunit ribosomal RNA
Source: RNAcentral